CUUGCGGGCUCCGGUCUCCUCCCCGCCCGGCCCGCCUCCUCCUUAAGGGAGGAGGCGGCGGCGCUGGCGGGACCCGAAAGCCGAGAGAGCCGGAGGCCAGUCCGACUCCGAACGUGUCCGGGCCCUUGGCAAACCAGUAUGGCUUGCUAUGCUAAGUUAUAUAUAGAAAUUCAGGGACCAUCAGACCUUCCACCUCUACAAUAAGCUCCUUGUGACAAUUAACAUCCAUCUAUAAAUUGAUCUUUUACUUGGCACUUGUUCUGUGUUGAAGCUUUUGGAUAAUGGAAACAUUCCCCUGGCAAUGUCUCUGGGGCGACUCCUUCGACGAGCCUCCUCAAAAGCCUCUGACCUCCUGACCCUCAACCCCAGUUGCAGCAGUGGCCCUCCUUCUGUACUGGAUGGGGAGAUCAUCUAUUCAAAGAACAAUGUCUGUGUCCAUCCCCUGCACGUUCUGCAGGGCCUUGGGGAACAUCACCCAGUUGUUGUUCCUGUUGUUUCCAAUACAUAGUCAAGCAAAACAAAUUUCCACAAUGGUCAUGUCCAAAAGGAAUACAUGCGCGUGCGCACACACACACACACGUUAUUCUGCAUUCUUGAGUUUUUCUCUUCUUACCAAAGGUGGGUAGCAUUAUUAUGCCAUAAGAAAUGGAUUGAUAGGGGGCAGCUAGGUGGCACAGUG
RNAcentral lists this long non-coding RNA (679 nucleotides) under Vombatus ursinus (common wombat). RNAcentral's name for it is "lncRNA (ENSVURG00010009994.1)". The record is from RNAcentral. Lineage: Eukaryota; Metazoa; Chordata; Mammalia; Diprotodontia; Vombatidae.